ACUAACGCAUGGUGUGGAUGCCUUGACUGAAGCAAGCGAUGAAGGACGUAGGAGGCUGCGAAAAGCCUCGGGGAGCUGUCAACCAAGCUGUGAUCCGGGGAUAUCCGAAUGAGGAAACUCCUCUGGCUUUACGCCGGAGAUCGUACUCUGAAUACAUAGGGGUACGAAGCGCACCCUGGGAAUUGAAACAUCUCAGUACCAGGAGGAAUAGAAAUCAAUAGAGAUUCCGAGAGUAGUGGCGAGCGAAAUCGGAAAAGCCUAAACCAAAGAGCUUGCUCUUUGGGGUUGCAAGGCUCACGUACUCGUUUAAUCGGGGUUUGUCGAUUUUUCUUAGCAGAACAGUCUGGAAAGACUGACCAGAGGGGGUAAUAGUCCCGUAUGCGAAAAGAAAGAUUGCCAGAUGCGUGGGUUCUUAAGUAGGGCGGGGCCGGAGAAACCCCGUUUGAAUCCGGGAGCACUAACUCCCAAGGCUAAAUAUUGCUUCAGAUCGAUAGUGAACUAGUACCGUGAGGGAAAGGUGAAAAGCAUCCCGAUAAGGGAGGUGAAAUAGAACUGAAACUCCAUGCUAACGAAGAGUUGGAGCCCUGACGCAAGUCGGGGUGACAGCGUGCUUUUUGCAGCACGAUCCAACGAGUUAGUUCUGCGCGGCUGUCUAAGGGGUGAAGAGCUCUGGAGACACAGUGAAAGCGAGCCUGAAUAGGGCGUUUGGAGCAUGCACGAAGAAUCUGUAUCGGUAUGGAUUUUUCGUGCAUGCUCCCAGGUCGCGUGGACUAGACCCGAAGCCAGACGAGCUACACAUGAGCAGGGUGAAGCGUCAGUAAAAUGACGUGGAGGCCCGAACCCACUAGUCGUUCGACUCUAGGGGAUGACUUGUGUGUAGGGGAGAAAUUCCAAUCGAGUUUGGCAAUAGCUGGUUCUCUCCGAAAUAGCUUGAGGGCUAGCGUCCGGACAAAUAUACCCGAGGGGUAGAGCUACUGGAUGAGGUGUCGCCGUAAGGUAGGCUCUUCAACCAAACUCCAAAUACUCGUGGUACGUACCCGGGCAGUCAGUAUUACGGGGCUAAGCUCGUAGUACAAAAGGGAAACAGCCCAGACCGUCAGCUAAGGUCCCGAAAUCUUUGCUCAGUGGGAAAGGCAGUGAAGGCUCUUAGACACUUAGGAGGUUGGCUUAGAAGCAGCCACCCUUUAAAGAGUGCGUAAUAGCUCACUAAUCUAGAGCCUUUGCGCCGAUAAUGUAACGGGGCUCAAGCAAAGUACCGAAGCUACGGAUUGCAUCGUAAGAUGCAGUGGUAGGAGAGCGUCCCAUACGCGCUGAAGCGGGAGGGUAACCGACCGUGAAGUGUAUGGAAGUGAGAAUGUUGGAAUGAGUAACCGCAAGGCAGGUGAGAUCCCUGCCCGCCGAAAAUCCAAGGUUUCCUGGGCUAUGUUGAUCAUCCCAGGGUGAGUCGGUCCUAAGGCGAGGCUGAAAGGCGUAGUCGAUGGACAAGAGGUUAAUAUUCCUCUACUGCGUAUAUAUUCGAUGGAGUGACGCAUCUCUGUACCUCUUGCCCCUUAUUGGAUUGGGGUUUAGGUCUUGAGGAUGUCAUAUAGGCAAAUCCGUAUGACAAUAAUCCGAGAGAUCCGACGAUUCCGGUAGCGAUACCGGGAAAGAAGAGGGAGCGGGGUGCCAGGAAAAGCUUCUAAGGUUCAUAUAUACGUAACCGUACCGCAAACCGACACAGGUGGAUUGGUCGAGAAGACUAAGGCGAACGGGAGAGUAUUCGUUAAGGAACUAGGCAAAAAAGCUAGGCGUAAGUUUGCAAUAUGCCUUGCCGGUUCUCUUCGGAGAGUCGGCCGCAGCGAAAGUUUUCCAAGCGACUGUUUACCAAAAACACAGCUCUCUGCAAACCCGUAAGGGGAAGUACAGGGGGUGACACCUGACCAGUGCUAGCUCGUUAACGGGAGCGGUUCACGCCAAUCCCCGAAGCGCUAGUGAACGUCGGCGAUAACUAUAAUCGUCCUAAGGUUCCGGAAAUUUCCUCGGAAGUUUUCGGAAGGACUGGGACGGUUAUAGGAAUGUGUGAAGAAAUGUGGAAGAAAAGGAAAAGUAAUUGCUUCUUUCGGAGAAAUCCGGAAGGUCCAAAAAUACUUAGCCAUAUGCUGGAACAUCUGGAGUAUCUGAUGAUACUAUGGUAAAAUUAUUCCAUAGAAAUAUGGAAGAGUGAUGCCGAGUGAAAAAUCAAUCAGUGUGUCUCGCUUCAAUCGUGAGACGCCAGACAAUCAGCAGGAAAGACUGAAGACCGUUGGCUGGGUCAUCGGGUAUGUGGAUGGGGAAGGAUGUUUUUCAGUGAGUCUGCUCAGGAAUACCACCACGAAAAGUGGUUGGCAGACAUUUCCGGAGUUUGUGGUGACACAAAGCGGAAAGAGUAAGGCUUCAUUGGAAAUAUUGCGAGAUUUCUUCGGAUGCGGGAAGAUAUUUGUGAAUCGACGGUAUGAUAACCACCGAGAGCACAUCUAUCGAUACUGUGUCCGAUCACAAGAGGAACUUCGCGAAAAGAUCAUUCCUUUCUUUAUGGAAAAUCCGCUCCGAACCGCCAAGCAAAAAGAUUUCGAGCAUUUUUCUUUUAUCCUCAAUCAGAUGAGACUCAAGCGACAUCUGACGGAGACUGGUAUGCAUAUGAUUGCCAGAAGGAUUGAGAAAAUGAAUCACAAGAAAGCUUCCCGGUUUUUAGAAUCCUCAGAGACCAAAUGCUAAGCGCGUAAUCGAUACGUGAAAAGAGAGUCCGUGCUCAUCGGCGACGAUGAGAAUAACACUACAGAGCGAAAUUCCUUGACAGGUAAGUUCUGUCCCGCAUGAAAGGUGUAACGAUUUGGAAACUGUCUCAACGAACAUCCCGGUGAAAUUGCAAUGACGGUAAAGAUGCCGUCGACCUGCAGCAAGACGAAAAGACCCCAUGGAG
RNAcentral lists this ribosomal RNA (2938 nucleotides) under wastewater metagenome. Its description in RNAcentral is "bacterial LSU rRNA". It matches the Rfam family "Bacterial large subunit ribosomal RNA", at positions 1 to 2098 of the family's 2925-position model. The record is from RNAcentral.